GUUACACUUGUGAUGCCCAUUCAACGAGGAUACUUAAAGACAAAAUGAAGGGUCCUGUACCAUAGCUAACCAUUUCCAUAACUUCUUCCUUCCUAUGCUGCAGCCAAACAAGAUUACAAACCUUUCAUCUAGCUGGUAUAACCUAGUCAAACCCCAGUCCAGCCAUUUUUGUGAAAUUGGCUACUAAGACACUCAUCUCUCAUCAAUAACCUCAAUAGGACUGAAGCAUGCCAAUUAGCU
Molecule: unclassified non-coding RNA, 240 nt
Filed under: Hevea brasiliensis (rubber tree)
Lineage: Eukaryota; Viridiplantae; Streptophyta; Magnoliopsida; Malpighiales; Euphorbiaceae
Source: RNAcentral